Molecule: non-coding RNA, 450 nt
Organism: Pelobates cultripes (western spadefoot toad)
Lineage: Eukaryota; Metazoa; Chordata; Amphibia; Anura; Pelobatidae
Source: the annotation of a GenBank genome assembly
UUUUAUUUGUCCUGUGUUCCAUUUGAUCUUUGAAUGAUUUGAUCGCACCCGGUUGCCAUGGAGACGUCACUGGUGGAACGCAUGUGGAACGCGGACGUUCCCGCGACGUCACUUCCGGUUUCGGCAAAUUAUGACCGCUUCCGGUAUUUGCCGAAAAAGGCGCGAAUUACAAAUUAUGGAAAAUGAAUGGAUGACAAACAGCUGCCACAGGAAGAUCAGUCCUCCAAUUAGAACCAAGGAGGAUUUACACGCCUACUGGAUCCACCAAUAGACUUUAGGGAUUAGCCCUAUUUAAGGACACAGGGAGGGGGGAUGUGCAUAGGAUAUGUUUAUGUAUUGUACAUUGAUACAUUGUUAUUAUUGUUUUUAAUUGUGGUCCCUGAGGAAGUUCUUAUAGAACGAAACGCGUAGGACAACCUUCUGUUAUUUGUAUCCUAUGCUGAAUUGGUG